RNAcentral lists this ribosomal RNA (443 nucleotides) under uncultured bacterium. RNAcentral describes it as "partial 16S ribosomal RNA". It matches the Rfam family "Bacterial small subunit ribosomal RNA", at positions 338 to 795 of the family's 1533-position model. The record is from RNAcentral.
CCUACGGGGGGCAGCAGUGGGGAAUAUUGGGCAAUGGGCGCAAGCCUGACCCAGCAACGCCGCGUGAAGGAAGAAGGCUCUCGGGUUGUAAACUUCUUUUAUCAGGGACGAAGCAAGUGACGGUACCUGAUGAAUAAGCCACGGCUAACUGCGGGCCAGUAGACGCGGUAAUACGUAGGUGGCAAGCGUUAUCCGGAUUUACUGGGUGUAAAGGGCGUGUAGGCGGGAAAGCAAGUCAGAUGUUAAAACCAUGGGCUUAACCUGUGCCCUGCAUUUGAAACUGUUUUUCUUGAGUACUGGAGAGGCAGACGGAAUUCCGAGUGUAGCGGUGAAAUGCGUAGAUAUUAGGAGGAACACCAGUGGCGAAGGCGGUCUGGUGGACAGCAACUGACGCUGAGGCGCGAAAGCGUGGGGAGCAAACAGGAUUAGAUACCCUUGUAGUC